CAGUAAGGAAUAUUGGUCAAUGGACGAAAGUCUGAACCAGCCAUGCCGCGUGGAGGAUGAAUGCCCUCUGGGUUGUAAACUUCUUUUAUUUGGGACGAAACACUUCUUAUCUAAGGAGCUUGACGGUACCAGAUGAAUAAGCACCGGCUAACUCCGUGCCAGCAGCCGCGGUAAUACGGAGGGUGCAAGCGUUAUCCGGAUUCACUGGGUUUAAAGGGUGCGUAGGCGGACAUGUAAGUCUGUGGUGAAAUCUCCGAGCUUAACUCGGAAACUGCCGUGGAUACUAUAUGUCUUGAAUGUUGUGGAGGUUAGCGGAAUAUGUCAUGUAGCGGUGAAAUGCUUAGAUAUGACAUAGAACACCGAUUGCGAAGGCAGCUGGCUACACAACUAUUGACGCUGAGGCACGAAAGCGUGGGGAUCAAACAGGAUUAGA
Molecule: ribosomal RNA, 433 nt
Filed under: uncultured bacterium
Lineage: Bacteria
Description: bacterial SSU rRNA
Rfam family: Bacterial small subunit ribosomal RNA
Source: RNAcentral